UUUUCGGUCACACUUGCCGUUUGUCUUGCGUUUUCAGUGUCUCAAAUUAACAAGGUUUUAGUAAAACUUUUUGAUUAGUUCUUUAGUUUGUACUAAAGUAUAGCCAUACUUCCAACAAUAAUCUGAUAUCGACAAUAUGGCACUUAACCCACAAUACGAGGAUAUCGGCAAGGGCUUCGUUCAGCAAUAUUAUAGCAUAUUCGACGACCCGGCGAACCGCGCUAAUGUGGUUAACUUCUACAGCGCAACAGAGUCCUUCAUGACCUUCGAAGGCCAUCAGAUACAAGGAGCGCCAAAGAUACUUGAGAAAGUGCAGAGUCUGAGCUUCCAAAAGAUCACGCGCGUAAUCACCACAGUUGACUCGCAGCCCACGUUCGAUGGCGGCGUCUUGAUCAAUGUGCUGGGCCGUCUACAGACCGAUGAUGAUCAGCCGCAUGCGUAUAUUCAGACCUUUGUGCUCAAGCCUGUGGGCGUUAGCUUCUUUGUGCAGCACGAUAUCUUUAGGCUUGCGCUGCACGAUGUGUAGCCAAGCAGAUCGACAGUAAACAACAACAAGAACUACAACAACUACAACCGAAACACACUCAGCGAGCGAUCCUGGCCAGGCAAAUGCGAUGACGAUCCGCCACACGCUUUCUCUCAGGUGUUUGUGCUGAAAGCCAAUGCCGGUACCUAUUUUGUUGCUCAUGA
RNA transcript from Drosophila novamexicana, 690 nucleotides. It is a transcript of the gene named probable nuclear transport factor 2, with no coding region annotated. The record is from RefSeq and is a predicted model, not a curated record. The transcript is spliced from 5 exons. NCBI's taxonomy places the organism in Eukaryota, Metazoa, Arthropoda, Insecta, Diptera, Drosophilidae.